Molecule: long non-coding RNA, 1238 nt
Filed under: Ficedula albicollis (Collared flycatcher)
Lineage: Eukaryota; Metazoa; Chordata; Aves; Passeriformes; Muscicapidae
Description: lncRNA (ENSFALG00000027859.1)
Source: RNAcentral
CCUCAGCCCAAACCUGCAGCUGCUCCUGGAUUUGGGUUUUGGACACCAGCACGAGUUUGUUAUUUUCUUGAAGUGUAAGACAGAGCACAGGUAUGACUCAAUUGGAUUCUCCUCCAGCCUCGGUGUAGUGCUGGGUGCACGGGCAGGGGGGACAGGAUCUGUCCCUGCUGCCUCAGGAGGCAGGUGAGGGCUCCCAGCCCAAGCUCGGUGAGCUGGGAGCACAUGGAGACUCCUCAGUGUCACCCUUCCUGAGCCUGCCCACACUCACUCCGGGUGAACCAGACGUUUCCUUUCCCCUCUGCAUGGUGACAGCCUGAUGGUGCCACAGCAGAGGGUUAAAGCAGAGUCACCCACGCCCCAGUGAGAUUCUCCCCCCUGCCAUCAGCUGUGACACAGCCCCAACAAUGCCCAGGGAACGGCCCAAACCAAGGGCCAGCCUCUCUGCAGAGCUGGGAAGAGCCAAAAAGACACAGGCAGCCCUGAGGUGGGUGUAGGACAGCCUGAUGUGGGCUCCUCACAACCCCUUUUCCAACGGCCACCAGCAGCAGCCGGUGCUCCCCCCUAAAUGAGGCUGAGAGGUUUCUUCAGGUAAGAGAACAGCUGUCAGAGGGCCCUGCUGUCCUUUCUCUGCCUCCCACCCCAACACUGGACCCAGGGCAUGAAGAAAGGGCCAGUCCCUGCUUUCCUGCCCCUACACCACCAUCUACUCGGGUCCAGCUGCAGCCCUGAUGGCCAAGAGCAGAUCCUACUCUUCCUCACAGGAGAAAUGGUGCAGGUGUACAGAGCUGGACCACAAAGUUUCUUUCAUCCCUCUCCUUCCCCCCACAGGGCACAGCAAAACAGCCCCAGCAUCAGCUGCUGUCAGGCCAAACCCAGACCAGUCCCACCAGUUCCAUAACUUACAAGGAAACAGAGAAGCUACAGAGAGCUGCAAGUCCUGGAGUAUUUACACCGAGGAGGGCAGGAACAGGAGACAAAGCAACACGUGACCAGAGGUAUUUACAGCACGGACACACAAAGCCCCCUCACCUCACAAGAACAGCAGCAGCGACAGCAGGUCAAGCCCUUGGUGCUCCAAGGCUGACAGAGAAUCUGGGCUAUUUACAGUAUCUCACAUAUUAACAGCUUUACAAAGGUGUCCAGGAAGUUUCAUCUCAUGUAUAAAAAANNNNNNNNNNNNNNNNNNNNNNNNNNNNNNNNNNNNNNNNNNNNNNNNNNNNNNNNNNNAAAAAAAAGCC